UGGUUUAAUUCGAAGCAACGCGAAGAACCUUUACCAGGUCUUGACAUCCCGAUGCUAUUUCUAGAGAUAGAAAGUUACUUCGGUACAUCGGUGACAGGUGGUGCAUGGUUGUCGUCAGCUCGUGUCGUGAGAUGUUGGGUUAAGUCCCGCAACGAGCGCAACCCCUAUUGUUAGUUGCCAUCAUUCAGUUGGGCACUCUAGCGAGACUGCCGGUAAUAAACCGGAGGAAGGUGGGAUGACGUCAAAUCAUCAUGCCCCUUAUGACCUGGGCUACACACGUGCUACAAUGGUUGGUACAACGAGUUGCGAGUCGGUGACGGCGAGCUAAUCUCUUAAAGCCAAUCUCAGUUCGGAUUGUAGGCUGCAACUCGCCUACAUGAAGUCGGAAUCGCUAGUAAUCGCGGAUCAGCACGCCGCGGUGAAUACGUUCCCGGGCCUU
RNAcentral lists this ribosomal RNA (439 nucleotides) under uncultured Streptococcus sp. RNAcentral describes it as "bacterial SSU rRNA". It matches the Rfam family "Bacterial small subunit ribosomal RNA", at positions 942 to 1382 of the family's 1533-position model. The record is from RNAcentral. Lineage: Bacteria; Bacillati; Bacillota; Bacilli; Lactobacillales; Streptococcaceae.